AUGAUCCACACUGGAGAGAAGCGAUAUGACUGCCUUUCAUGUGGGAAGAGGUUCACUCAUUUAUCUGAUUUAAUUGUUCACAGGAAAAGUGUAUGUCUGAAGAUCCACUGAACAAGACCCAAUAACAGUAAAUGAGAGCACGUAAACCUCAUCCAAAGAUGUCACGGUGAAUUUGACAGAAGAGCGGGCUUCUAGCAGCAAUGGCCAGCAACAGCUCGUUUACUGGAUCUAACAGUGGUUUUGGGGCACUGCGAGACCGUGAUCACCUGGACACAUCUCCUUCCACGGAAGAGAAGCACAAAAGGAGAUUGCUCGUCUGACAAAAGAAAAUGAAAAUGUAAGAAGUCGGCAGUUUUGUCUAGAAAGAUUCCAGUGUGAGCCCAAGCCAAUCAUGUUUUACACCGGAUUUAAAGAUUAUGAAACCCUCAAAGCACUCUACCAGUCUCUUCGACCUACAGCACAGUCUCUGGUGAGAUGGACUCAAAUGCAAAGACUUAAUAAAGGUCAACCAGAUGAGGACUGUUUGUGCUCUAUUGACACAUUUCCAAGGACCUCUAUUUUAAAUAAGUAGCUCACUCAGAAAUGAAAAUGUGCUCACCCUCAGGCCAU
Long non-coding RNA from Sinocyclocheilus anshuiensis, 609 nucleotides. RefSeq lists it as uncharacterized. The record is from RefSeq and is a predicted model, not a curated record. The transcript is spliced from 3 exons. NCBI's taxonomy places the organism in Eukaryota, Metazoa, Chordata, Actinopteri, Cypriniformes, Cyprinidae.